GAUGAACGCUGGCGGCGUGCCUAAUACAUGCAAGUCGAGCGAACAGACGAGGAGCUUGCUCCUCUGACGUUAGCGGCGGACGGGUGAGUAACACGUGGAUAACCUACCUAUAAGACUGGGAUAACUUCGGGAAACCGGAGCUAAUACCGGAUAAUAUAUUGAACCGCAUGGUUCCAUAGUGAAAGACGGUUUUGCUGUCACUUAUAGAUGGAUCCGCGCCGCAUUAGUUAGUUGGUAAGGUAACGGCUUACCAAGGCAACGAUGCGUAGCCGACCUGAGAGGGUGAUCGGCCACACUAGAACUGAGACACGGUCCAGACUCCUACGGGAGGCAGCAGUAGGGAAUCUUCCGCAAUGGGCGAAAGCCUGACAGAGCAACGCCGAGUGAGUGAUGAAGGUCUUCGGAUCGUAAAACUCUGUUAUUAGGGAAGAACAAAUGUGUAAGUAACUAUGCACGUCUUGACGGUACCUAAUCAGAAAGCCACGGCUAACUACGUG
Molecule: ribosomal RNA, 497 nt
Filed under: uncultured bacterium
Lineage: Bacteria
Description: partial 16S ribosomal RNA
Rfam family: Bacterial small subunit ribosomal RNA
Source: RNAcentral